Long non-coding RNA from Lutra lutra (Eurasian river otter), 194 nucleotides. RefSeq lists it as uncharacterized. The record is from RefSeq and is a predicted model, not a curated record. The transcript has 2 exons. NCBI's taxonomy places the organism in Eukaryota, Metazoa, Chordata, Mammalia, Carnivora, Mustelidae.
UUUUUUUUUUAAGAUUUUAUUUAUUUAUUUGACAGAGAGAGAUCACAAGUAGGCAGAGAGGCAGGCAGAGAAAGAGGAGGAAGGAGGCUGACUUCUGAGCAGAGAUCUCGAUGGAGGGCUCGAUGCCAGUACCCUGAGAUCACGACCUGAGACGAAGGCAGAGGCUUUAACCCACUGAGCCACCCAGGCACCCC